ACCGAGACCUUGUGCUUCUUAGCA
RNAcentral lists this non-coding RNA (24 nucleotides) under Arabidopsis thaliana (thale cress). The record is from RNAcentral. Lineage: Eukaryota; Viridiplantae; Streptophyta; Magnoliopsida; Brassicales; Brassicaceae.